AUCGUUUCCCGGUCUUUGGAUAAGAUAAAAGUAAAGUAUAUGUUUUUACCAGCUUAAUAUCUGAUCAUGUGUCCUCUUCGAUAUGAAUCUUAUUUCUGUUAGGGAAGAGAUGUUGCAAUACUUGCGUUGGACCUGUUGCUGGUCGGCCUGAUAUUGCAGUACAUCCUGGAUUGGCCCACUAACA
This 184-nucleotide small nuclear RNA is filed under the name Lepeophtheirus salmonis (salmon louse). Its description in RNAcentral is "U2 spliceosomal RNA". It matches the Rfam family "U2 spliceosomal RNA". Rfam says of the family: U2 is a small nuclear RNA (snRNA) component of the spliceosome (involved in pre-mRNA splicing). The record is from RNAcentral. Lineage: Eukaryota; Metazoa; Arthropoda; Copepoda; Siphonostomatoida; Caligidae.